This 253-nucleotide ribosomal RNA is filed under the name uncultured bacterium. RNAcentral describes it as "partial 16S ribosomal RNA". It matches the Rfam family "Bacterial small subunit ribosomal RNA", at positions 524 to 776 of the family's 1533-position model. The record is from RNAcentral.
UACGUAGGCAGCAAGCGUUGUUCGGAAUUACUGGGCGUAAAGAGUGUGUAGGCGGUGCUCUAAGUUUGUCGUGAAAUCUCCCGGCUUAACUGGGAGGGUGCGGCGGAAACUGGGGUGCUAGAGGGUGGGAGAGGAAAGCGGAAUUCCUGGUGUAGCGGUGAAAUGCGUAGAUAUCAGGAGGAACACCUGCGGUGUAGACAGCUUUCUGGACCGCUUCUGACGCUGAGACACGAAAGCGUGGGUAGCAAACAGG